This 566-nucleotide ribosomal RNA is filed under the name Salmonella enterica subsp. enterica serovar Typhimurium. RNAcentral describes it as "bacterial SSU rRNA". It matches the Rfam family "Bacterial small subunit ribosomal RNA", at positions 911 to 1486 of the family's 1533-position model. The record is from RNAcentral. Lineage: Bacteria; Pseudomonadati; Pseudomonadota; Gammaproteobacteria; Enterobacterales; Enterobacteriaceae.
UGACGGGGGCCCGCACAAGCGGAGGAACAUGUGGUUUAAUUCGAUGAUACGCGAGGAACCUUACCCGGGCUUGAAUUGCAGAGGAAGGAUUUGGAGACAAUGACGCCCUUCGGGGUCUCUGUGAAGGUGCUGCAUGGUUGUCGUCAGCUCGUGCCGUGAGGUGUCGGCUUAAGUGCCAUAACGAGCGCAACCCCUCUCCUUAGUUGCCAUCAGGUGAUGCUGGGCACUCUGGGGACACUGCCACCGUAAGGUGUGAGGAAGGUGGGGAUGACGUCAAAUCAGCACGGCCCUUACGUCCGGGGCUACACACGUGUUACAAUGGCAGGUACAGAGAGAUGGUGUUCUGCAAAGCGCAUCUAAUCCUUAAAGCCUGUCUCAGUUCGGACUGGGGGCUGCAACCCGACCCCACGAAGCUGGAUUCGCUAGUAAUCGCGCAUCAGCCAUGGCGCGGUGAAUACGUUCCCGGGCCUUGUACACACCGCCCGUCAAGCCAUGAAAGCCGGGGGCGCCUAAAGUUCGUGACCGUAAGGAGCGGCCUAGGGCGAAACUGGUAAUUGGGGCUAAGU